This 253-nucleotide ribosomal RNA is filed under the name uncultured bacterium. RNAcentral describes it as "partial 16S ribosomal RNA". It matches the Rfam family "Bacterial small subunit ribosomal RNA", at positions 524 to 776 of the family's 1533-position model. The record is from RNAcentral.
UACGAAGGGGGCUAGCGUUGUUCGGAUUUACUGGGCGUAAAGCGCACGUAGGCGGAUCGUUAAGUCGGGGGUGAAAUCCUGGAGCUCAACUCCAGAACUGCCUUCGAUACUGGCGAUCUUGAGUCCGGAAGAGGUGAGUGGAACUCCUAGUGUAGAGGUGGAAUUCGUAGAUAUUAGGAAGAACACCGAUGGCGAAGGCAGCUCGCUGGGACGGUACUGACGCUGAGGCGCGAAAGCGUGGGGAGCAAACAGG